RNAcentral lists this ribosomal RNA (468 nucleotides) under uncultured bacterium. RNAcentral's name for it is "partial 16S ribosomal RNA". It matches the Rfam family "Bacterial small subunit ribosomal RNA", at positions 28 to 507 of the family's 1533-position model. The record is from RNAcentral.
GACGAACGCUGGCGGCGUGCUUAACACAUGCAAGUCGAACGGAAAGGCCCUGCUUUUGUGGGGUGCUCGAGUGGCGAACGGGUGAGUAACACGUGAGUAACCUGCCCUUGACUUUGGGAUAACUUCAGGAAACUGGGGCUAAUACCGGAUAGGAGCUCCUGCUGCAUGGGGGGGGUUGGAAAGUUUCGGCGGUUGGGGAUGGACUCGCGGCUUAUCAGCUUGUUGGUGGGGUAGUGGCUUACCAAGGCUUUGACGGGUAGCCGGCCUGAGAGGGUGACCGGCCACAUUGGGGCUGAGAUACGGCCCAGACUCCUACGGGAGGCAGCAGUGGGGAAUAUUGCACAAUGGGCGGAAGCCUGAUGCAGCAACGCCGCGUGCGGGAUGACGGCCUUCGGGUUGUAAACCGCUUUCGCCUGUGACGAAGCGUGAGUGACGGUAAUGGGUAAAGAAGCACCGGCUAACUACGUG